GCUGACGGCAGUCCUGGAGCAGAGAUCCAGCCUCGCUCCAGCGGGAUACACGCGCAGAUUUUAAUCAGGAGCGACAGCUAUGGAGCAGAGCUGUGUGCAGCACCUCUGAGACCUGUGCUCCUGCUGGUGCUCACACUUGCAUGGAGGAGGAGGCACUGAAGACAACAUCACCCAGUGUCUUUGCCAUGGCCCAGCCUGCAAACAUGAGUCAGUCUGACAGCAGUAUCAGCUUCCAAGACUUCAGUUAGAUUGACAUUCAUGAGCAGAAGAACCCUGAUCAGGCAGUGUGGAAACCUUCUGAAUGCACAAGGAGGAAAGAAAUCACUGAGGAGAGCAGUGAGAAUAAAGGAUGAGGCUUCAGUAAGUCAACAGAGAGAAGAAGAGGAAAUGCAAACAUCUGGAAGGCUGUUGUAAGUCUGCAAACUGGUGAUCAGGAAGAAGACGGGAAUGAAUAAUAGCAUAAGAAGAGAGAAAAUGACCAGAAAAGAAAUGAUAGAAUAAAAGGUAGGAGCUCUGUGGCCUUUCUCUCGCCCAGCAUGGAGGGAAUAUGUGUUUAAACGAGAUUCUGGGAGUCCGUGGACUUUCAGUUGAGAAUGGAGGUGAUGAAUGCCUUCCUUACUUCAAUUUUAUUGCACAGAAAAACAUUUUAUGCUUGAGUUUUCUGGCACCAGUUCCCGUGACUUUUGAGAAUGGGGUUGUGCAUUGAUCUGAAGGACACUGGCUGCCCUUGGUUAUGGUGUUUGAACUGAACUCUGCAUUGUUGUGGAGUAAUAGUAUGUGAAAAUUGACUACUCAUUUUAGAAUAAUAAACUGGGGCUGAGA
Long non-coding RNA from Neopelma chrysocephalum (saffron-crested tyrant-manakin), 822 nucleotides. RefSeq lists it as uncharacterized. The transcript is spliced from 6 exons. The record is from RefSeq and is a predicted model, not a curated record. Lineage: Eukaryota; Metazoa; Chordata; Aves; Passeriformes; Pipridae.